This 314-nucleotide unclassified non-coding RNA is filed under the name plant metagenome. Its description in RNAcentral is "partial contains 5.8S ribosomal RNA, internal transcribed spacer 2, and large subunit ribosomal RNA". The stretch from base 1 to 105 matches the Rfam family "5.8S ribosomal RNA", at positions 50 to 154 of the family's 154-position model. The record is from RNAcentral.
GAAAUGCGAUAAUUAAUGUGAAUUGCAGAAUUCAGUGAAUCAUCGAGUCUUUGAACGCACAUUGCGCCCCCUGGUAUUCCGGGGGGCAUGCCUGUCCGAGCGUCAUUGCUGCCCUCAAGCACGGCUUGUGUGUUGGGCUUCCGUCCCUGGCAACGGGGACGGGCCCAAAAGGCAGUGGCGGCACCAUGUCUGGUCCUCGAGCGUAUGGGGCUUUGUCACCCGCUCCCGUAGGUCCAGCUGGCAGCUAGCCUCGCAACCAAUCUUUUUAACCAGGUUGACCUCGGAUCGGGUAGGGAUACCCGCUGAACUUAAGC